UACGGAGGGGGCAAGCGUUAUUCGGAAUUAUUGGGCGUAAAGGGCGCGUAGGCGGCUUGAUAAGUCAAAGGUGAAAUCCCUCGGCUCAACUGAGGAACUGCCUUUGAAACUGUCGAGCUUGAGGCCGGGAGGGGGUAGCGGAAUUCCCAGUGUAGCGGUGAAAUGCGUAGAUAUUGGGAGGAACACCAGUGGCGAAGGCGGCUACCUGGACCGGUUCUGACGCUGAGGCGCGAAAGCGUGGGUAGCAAACAGGA
Molecule: ribosomal RNA, 254 nt
Filed under: uncultured prokaryote
Description: partial 16S ribosomal RNA
Rfam family: Bacterial small subunit ribosomal RNA
Source: RNAcentral